RNAcentral lists this ribosomal RNA (937 nucleotides) under Drosophila simulans. Its description in RNAcentral is "SSU rRNA". It matches the Rfam family "Eukaryotic small subunit ribosomal RNA", at positions 1 to 874 of the family's 1831-position model. Lineage: Eukaryota; Metazoa; Arthropoda; Insecta; Diptera; Drosophilidae. The record is from RNAcentral.
UCUGGUUGAUCCUGCCAGUAGUUAUAUGCUUGUCUCAAAGAUUAAGCCAUGCAUGUCUAAGUACACACGAAUUAAAAGUGAAACCGCAAAAGGCUCAUUAUAUCAGUUAUGGUUCCUUAGAUCGUUAACAGUUACUUGGAUAACUGUGGUAAUUCUAGAGCUAAUACAUGCAAUUAAAACAUGAACCUUAUGGGACAUGUGCUUUUAUUAGGCUAAAACCAAGCGAUCGCAAGAUCGUUAUAUUGGUUGAACUCUAAAUAACAUGCAAAUCGUAUGGUCUUGUACCGACAACAGAUCUUUCAAAUGUCUGCCCUAUCAACUUUUGAUGGUAGUAUCUAGGACUACCAUGGUUGCAACGGGUAACGGGGAAUCAGGGUUCGAUUCCGGAGAGGGAGCCUGAAAAACGGCUACCACAUCUAAGGAAGGCAGCAGGCGCGUAAAUUACCCACUCCCAGCUCGGGGAGGUAGUGACGAAAAAUAACAAUACAGGACUCAUAUCCGAGGCCCUGUAAUUGGAAUGAGUACACUUUAAAUCCUUUAACAAGGACCAAUUGGAGGGCAAGUCUGGUGCCAGCAGCCGCGGUAAUUCCAGCUCCAAUAGCGUAUAUUAAAGUUGUUGCGGUUAAAACGUUCGUAGUUGAACUUGUGCUUCAUACGGGUAGUACAACUUACAAUUGUGGUUAGUACUAUACCUUUAUGUAUGUAAGCGUAUUACCGGUGGGAGUUUCUUAUAUGUGAUUAAAUACUUGUAUUUUUUUCAUAUGUUCCUCCUAUUUAAAACCUGCACUAGUGCUCUUAAACGAGUGUUAUUGUGGGCGGUACUAUUACUUUGAACAAUUAAAGUGCUUAAGCAGGCUUCAAUGCUGAAUAUUCUGUGCAUGGGAUAAUGAAUAAGACCUCUGUCUGCUUCUUGGUUUCAAUCAAAGUAUGAUAAAAA